RNAcentral lists this ribosomal RNA (253 nucleotides) under uncultured bacterium. Its description in RNAcentral is "partial 16S ribosomal RNA". It matches the Rfam family "Bacterial small subunit ribosomal RNA", at positions 524 to 776 of the family's 1533-position model. The record is from RNAcentral.
UACGGGGGGGGUAAGCGUUGUUCGGAAUUACUGGGCGUAAAGGGCUCGUAGGCGGCCAACUAAGUCAUACGUGAAAUCCCUCAGCUUAACUGGGGAACUGCGUGUGAUACUGGAUGGCUUGGAUUUGGGAGAGGGAUGCGGAAUUCCAGGUGUAGCGGUGAAAUGCGUAGAUAUCUGGAGGAACACCGGUGGCGAAGGCGGCGUUCUGGACUGCAUCUGACACUGAGGAACGAAAGCCAGGGGAGCAAACGGG